AGUGGAAAGAAGAAGUACCCACUUCUCACCUGACUGAAAAAUAUCAGUAGGUAAAUGUCACUUAUAACAUCAUAUUUUGAUUUGUGUGAUUUAAUUGGUGGGUGCACUAUGCGCCUACUUUUCUUUUACUAU
Molecule: non-coding RNA, 132 nt
Organism: Coprobacillus sp. CAG:698
Lineage: Bacteria; Bacillati; Bacillota; Erysipelotrichia; Erysipelotrichales; Coprobacillaceae
Source: Rfam